RNAcentral lists this transfer RNA (69 nucleotides) under Ictidomys tridecemlineatus (thirteen-lined ground squirrel). Its description in RNAcentral is "Spermophilus tridecemlineatus (thirteen-lined ground squirrel) tRNA". It matches the Rfam family "tRNA". Rfam says of the family: Transfer RNA (tRNA) molecules are approximately 80 nucleotides in length. Their secondary structure includes four short double-helical elements and three loops (D, anti-codon, and T loops). Lineage: Eukaryota; Metazoa; Chordata; Mammalia; Rodentia; Sciuridae. The record is from Rfam by way of RNAcentral.
GGAAUCGUGGCUCAGUGGUAGAGCGCUUGCCUCAUAUGCAUGAGGCCCUGGGUUCAAUCCUCGGUACCA